This 301-nucleotide ribosomal RNA is filed under the name uncultured bacterium. RNAcentral's name for it is "partial 16S ribosomal RNA". It matches the Rfam family "Bacterial small subunit ribosomal RNA", at positions 509 to 807 of the family's 1533-position model. The record is from RNAcentral.
CAGUCGCCGCGGUAAUACGUAGGGUGCAAGCGUUAAUCGGAAUUACUUGGCGUAAAGCGUGCGCAGGCGGUUAUAUAAGACAGAUGUGAAAUCCCCGGGCUCAACCUGGGAACUGCAUUUGUGACUGUAUAGCUAGAGUACGGCAGAGGGGGAUGGAAUUCCGCGUGUAGCAGUGAAAUGCGUAGAUAUGCGGAGGAACACCGAUGGCGAAGGCAAUCCCCUGGGCCUGUACUGACGCUCAUGCACGAAAGCGUGGGGAGCAAACAGGAUUAGAUACCCCAGUAGUCCCUGUCUCUUAUAC